UUUAUUCUAUGUUCUUGGUUGGACUUCUUCUUUGUUAUUAAGCAAGUUUAACCACACAAUACGAGAUUGAGCUUUAAUAUUUGCUCAUUUGAUGGACUUUAUUUCUUACAAAUACUUUUGAUUCUCCAUUUUAUAAUCCUUGUGUUCAAUUAAACCUUUGUGAUUUGAUGUGCCUUAGAUCCUGAAAGGCUUUGCUUCAAAUGCUUCCAGAAAGAUAUUGGUAUUGGCUUUGCUUGUUUAUCUAUAUGCAUAGUGUUGGCACGUACUUAUGAUUUUAUUUAUUUAUUUAUUUUUUUGACAUGCAUGAAGGAGGAGUCUUGGUAUAAUGUUGAGCAUGGUUGUUGGUGUUUAAUUAUGCUCUUUUUUAUUUUUGUUUUUCAGUUAUACCCCUCUUUUUCAUCUCCUUUCUCUGGGGUGCUAUAAUUGUCUUCACCCUUGGCAUAUAUGUAGGGGAGAGUUAUUGUUCAAAUGCACAAGAUGAUAUGAUCAUAUUGAUUGUUUUUUUUUUCUUUCCCAUUAUUCUGUUAUUUGUUAGUCUUUUUUAAUCAUGGUAUAAAAAAUAAAAUUAAAAAUUAAAAAAUCCGAAAAAGUAUUUGUUUUCAAACACAGUGUUGUUUUAUGCCUCUUUGUCAUUUGUGGAGCUAGGUUUUGCUUCUUCUUGGACAUUAUACUUGUGCAUUGCACCUACUUUAUUGCUCUUCCAAGAGGAUUAUACUUCUUUUGAUAUGGUAGACAAUGUGAACGACAAUAUGUCGAUAAGAAGACAAGUGUUUGAAAAGAUAAGACUUUUGCACCUGUUGCACAAUUGGAAUUGGUGAGGUUAUUGCUCGUUGUCAUUUGUCAAGCCAAAUGGACAUCAAAAGUGCCUUCCUUAGUAGUGCUUUCAAGUAACCAUACAUGUUGAGCAAUCCACAGUCACAACAAGAUAAAGCCCCUUAAAUGCUUCAUUGGUUAAUCUCUAUGCCUUUAUAUGUUGGGAUUGCAAACUGAUUUUUUCCUUCUAUUGUUGCUAUUAUAUAUGCUCCCCUUAUCCUUUGGAUUUCCUGACAAAAAGGGGGGAGAGAUGAUUGUGUGAGAUUAUGAUAAAAAGAGGGAGAGAUUGUGUUGUAGAAUUAAGGGGGAGUGAUGUUGAAAUUUUGCUUUGAAUUACAUUUCUUCUCCCACAUACUUCACUGGUUUUGUUGUUUCAUGAUGUGCA
RNAcentral lists this long non-coding RNA (1198 nucleotides) under Prunus persica (peach). RNAcentral's name for it is "long non-coding RNA (PPER_LNC002019)". Lineage: Eukaryota; Viridiplantae; Streptophyta; Magnoliopsida; Rosales; Rosaceae. The record is from RNAcentral.